UACGUAGGGGGCUAGCGUUGUCCGGAUUUAUUGGGCGUAAAGAGCGUGUAGGCGGCCAGGUAGGUCUGCUGUGAAAACUCGAGGCUCAACCUCGAGACGUCGGCGGAAACCAUCUGGCUAGAGUCCGGAAGAGGAGAGUGGAAUUCCUAGUGUAGAGGUGAAAUUCGUAGAUAUUGGGAAGAACACCGGUGGCGAAGGCGGCCCACUGGCUCGAUACUGACGCUGAGGUGCGAAAGCGUGGGGAGCAAACAGG
Molecule: ribosomal RNA, 253 nt
Filed under: uncultured bacterium
Lineage: Bacteria
Description: partial 16S ribosomal RNA
Rfam family: Bacterial small subunit ribosomal RNA
Source: RNAcentral